Molecule: ribosomal RNA, 253 nt
Filed under: uncultured bacterium
Lineage: Bacteria
Description: partial 16S ribosomal RNA
Rfam family: Bacterial small subunit ribosomal RNA
Source: RNAcentral
UACGGAGGGUGCGAGCGUUAGUCGGAAUUACUGGGCGUAAAGCGUCCGUAGGCGGCUUGUUAAGUCUGAUGUGAAAGCCCUGGGCUUAACCUGGGAACGGCAUUGGAUACUGGCGAGCUAGAGUUCGGUAGAGGGUGGUGGAAUUCCCGGUGUAGCGGUGAAAUGCGUAGAGAUCGGGAGGAACACCGGUGGCGAAGGCGGCCACCUGGACCGAGACUGACGCUGAGGGACGAAAGCGUGGGGAGCAAACAGG